AGAAACCGCUGGGCAGUCUCCUGGGUGAGCGCCAGACGCCUGGGGUCCGUUUGCCGCCUGCUGAGACUAGACAAGGACCCCGGGAGGGCGACGUUGGGGGAGAGGGCUACGGAUGGAGGUCCCGCCGCGCUUGGGCCGGGUCCGGAGCCACCAGGACGCACAGCGGGUUUCCCUCAUUCUCAGUCAGGUGGUUGAGUUAUCCAAGCCUUCAUAACCAGAGGGUCUGAGCACUUGUUGGACUGUGCUUACUGCAGCUUCUCAUUUACAAUUACCACUGCACCUGAGAGUACCAAGAGAUUCCUGAGCCAGAGAUUACGAUUUCCAACUUCCAGCUCCUCAAGGUUUCAAUAUCAGGAUGAUGCCAGCCUCAUAAAAUGAGUUAGGGAGGAGUCUGAGAGGAGCUAUUAGAGCUUUACAGGGAUAUGGAUGAAGCUGGAAACCAUCAUUCUCAGCAAACUAUCGCAAGGACGAAAAACCAAACACCACAUGUUCUCACUCAUAGGUGGGAAUUGAACAAUGAGAACACUUGGACACAGGAAGGAGAACAUCACACACCGGGGCCUGUUGUGGGGUGGGGGGAGGGGGGAGGGAUAACAUUAGGAGAGAUACCUAAUGUAAAUGAUGAGCUCAUGGGUGCAGCACACCACCAUGGCUCAUGUAUACAUAUGUAACAAACCUGCACGUUGUGCACAUGUACCCUAGAACUUGAAGUAUAAAAAAAAAAGAGGUGCAAGGGAACUGUUUGCUCUCUUUUUUGCCCUUCUGUCCUUUCUGCCAUGUGAGGACAUAGUGUUCAUCUUGUCUGGAGGAAGCAGGGUUCAAGGCACUAUCUUGAAAGUAGAGACCAGGCCCUUACCAGACACCAAACCUUCUGGCACCUUGAUCUUGGACUUCCAAACAUGCAGAACUGUGAAAAGCAAACUUCUACUAUUUAUAAAUUACCCAGUCUAUGGUCAUUUAUAGCAGUGGGCAUAGACUAAGACAUCCUCUCUUGAUUCUUUACAAUGUAUUCCCCAUAUAAUAACCAGAUCACUCUUAAAAAUAAAAACCAGAUUAUAUCAGUCCCCUGAUUAGAAUCCUUCAAUGAUUUCCCACCUUGCUUGGAAAGCAAUCCAAGGUGAUUACCGUGGUUUACUAGGUUGGAUGAGAUCUGGCUCAGUGAGGUUGCCCUUUGUCUGCUGCUCUAUGCUUAAUGUGCUUCAGCCACACUGGGCUGAUUACUGACUCUUGUCUGCCCAGAGCCUUCAUACUUCACAGCGUGUGCAUUUGCAGUUCCCUCUGCCUAGCAUCUCCUCCCUCUGACCCUCACACAGCUUCUUCCUCAGCAGCCAACUCUCCUAGUACAAAGAAUUUCCAUGGCCAUCCUGAUUAGCGUAGCCCUCUAGCACAGGCCCCUUUCACUAUAAAAUUGGUUUAUUGCCAUAAUGGCACCAUUUUUAGCACUCAGUCCAAACUAUUUUGUUUAACUAUUUGUUUCUGAAUUUAUUGUCUAACUUCUCCAAUGAAAGAUAAACUCCUUGAGAGCAGGCAACUUGUCCUCCUUUCUCACCACUGAGUCCCCAGCAGCUGUGAGAGUACACGGCCAGUAGUACUCAUGCAAUAAUUAUUUGCCGAAUGAAGGAAGGAAUGAAUGAAUGAAGGGUACAAUGCCAAGCACUCUGAAAUGGUUAUAAUAGCUUUUUGGGUCAGAGUUUCCCCUGCUGGAGAGACAGAAAGAAAAGGAGUAGAAAUUGCUAAAAUGUAUGCUAUUGUGAAAGAAAAUGGAAUUUUUGAAACCCCAAAAUCACUAUGCCAAAGGAAAUGUUAAACUGGGGACUGGGUCACACAACGUUGCCCUUAUUUCUUUCCUUCCCCAAAAGAGAGCUGUAAUUUCACAACCCUGUGUCAUAGCCUCAUCCAUAAGCCAGGUUCCUGCAACUAGGGAAGGCCACAUAUCUCUCCAGAUGGCCUUCCUCACAAAUUACUCACAAGGAAAUUCCUUAUGGUCCCUAAAUCUUUCAGGAUACAUAUUCUAUCUAUAAACUAUCCCUAAAACCAAGUUCUGUUGAAUCUCACCCUGAAAUUGCCCAUUACCAGCUUAUCUUCACAGGUACAGGACAAGGAUGAGAAGAGAAAUCAUCCUUCUGCCUACCCUGAGAUGGAUGCAUAAUUGACUUUUUCCUCUACUCCCCUUAUGCAGAUUUACUGAGGCUAAUCAGAGCCUCACAAGAAUGCUUUUGUAUCAUAUGUAGAAAGCUGAAACUGGAUCCCUUCCUUACACCUUAUACAAAAAUUAAUUCAAGAUGGAUUAAAGACUUAAAUAUUAGACCUAAAACCAUAAAAACUCUAGAAGAAAACCUAGGCAAUACCCUUCAGGACAUAAGCAUGGGCAAGGACUUCAUGUCUAAAACACCAAAAGCAAUGGCAACAAAAGCCAAAAUUGACAAAUGGGAUCUAAUUAAACUAAAGAGCUUCUGCACAGCAAAAGAAACUACCAUCAGAGUGAACAGGCAACCUACAGAAUAGGAGAAAAUUUUUGCAAUCUACUCAUCUGACAAAGGGCUAAUAUCCAGAAUCUACAAUGAACUCAAACAAGUUUACAAGAAAAAAACAAACAACCCCAUCAACAAGUGGGCGAAGGAUAUGAACAGACACUUCUCAAAAGAACACAUUUAUGCAGCCAACAGACACAUGAAAAAAUGCUCAUCAUCACUGGCCAUCAGAGAAAUGCAAAUCAAAACCACAAUGAGAUAUCAUCUCAUACCUGUUAGAAUGGCGAUCAUUAAAAAGUCAGGAAACAACGGGUGCUGGAGAGGAUGUGGAAACAUAGGAACACUUUUACACUGUUGGUGGGACUGUAAACUAGUUCAACCAUUGUGGAAGACAGUGUGGCGAUUCCUCAGGGAUCUAGAACAGAAAUACCAUUUGACCCAGCCAUCCCAUUACUGGGUAUAUACCCAAAGGAUUAUAAAUCAUGCUGCUAUAAAGACACAUGCACGUGUAUGUUUAUUACGGCACUAUUCACAAUAGCAAAGACUUGGAACCAAUCCAAAUGUCCAACAAUGAUAGACUGGAUUAAGAAAAUGUGGCACAUAUACACCAUGGAAUACUGUGCAGCCAUAAAAAAUGAUGAGUUCAUGUCCUUUGCAGGGACAUGGGUGAAGCUGGAAACCAUCAUUCUCAGCAAACUAUCCCAAGGACAAAAAACCAAACACCGCAUGUUCUCACUCAUAGAUGGAGAAACAGAGGGAAGAAGAGACUUGGAAUCACUCUGUCCUGGCUGUGGGUCUAUGAAAAAGAAUGUGGCCUACUGCUAAAUACAUUGAUUUUGAAGCUAGAUAGCUCUGGUUUUGGGGAGCAAGUGAUUUGAUCUCUCAGAGACUCAGCUACUUCAUCAGUAAACAGAGAUUACCAUAUCCACCAGUAAUGGCUAUAGGAGCAGUAAUAGGGAUGAUAUAGGUGAAAGCACUGAUCACUGAAUGAUUCCAAAGACAGGUGCAGAGAGGUUCAGGCAUCAGACAGGCUACCUGGAUCCAAAUCCCAGCUCCAUCAUUUACUACUUUCAUGGCCUUUACAAACCACUAAACUUCUCUCUGAGCUUCAAUUUUCCCAUCUGUAACAUGGGAACUAAUAAAAUGAAACCUUCCUAAUAAAGUUGCCAGGAAGAUUCAUUGAGACAUUGAAUGUAAAGUAUUUAACUCAAUAUAGAGCACAGGGGAGCACCAAAUAAAAUUCAGGUGUUACAUUUUUAAGCACGUGUUCACCAAGGCUCCCAAUUCAGGUGGUGAGGAUUCUAUGAUGAUCAAUUCCUCCUAAGGUAUUUGUAAAAUGACCCACCAGAUUACCAACCAUUCCUGUAUUUCCAGAACCCUUUGGAGUCCUUUAUGUAACCUGGGAGAGCUGUUAUUCUUUUUUCUUUUUGGUAGAAGUGAAAUCCUGCAGGAAAACUUGCUCCAUUUUGGUUAUUUCUGUUAUAUCACAAGGUGGGCUGGAUAGCAAGUUUUGGAAGCACUGAACACCCACACGGAGCUGGCUCCUCUCAGGCGGGGAGGCAUCUUCACUAAGGAGAGGUGCAGUCUGUGUCCCCGUCCUUGACUCUGAGAAUCCCUGUGAUCAACAGAAUGCAGAAAAGUGACACUGCAUGGCUUCUGAGGCUAGGUCCAGAAAAGGUGAUGCAGCUUCCCCCUUUGCGCUGAAAUGCAGUGCUUGGACCUCAGAGCUAUUGACUAAGAAGUCCAUGCACCCUGAGCUUCUCAUGCUGGGGAAGCCACGUGUAGGCAUUCAGUUCCCAGCCCAGCUGAGCUCCAUCCUGGCUGCAACAAUUGUUCUCAUGAGGAAGCCAUCUUGGACACUCAGCUCCAUGGAGCCUCCACGAGUCGCCAGCCCCAACUGACAUCUGUCUCACUGCAACCACAGAAGAGCCUCCAACCAAGAACUGCACAGCUGAACCCUUUCUAAAUUCUUGAUCUCCAAAAAGCCAUGCACAAAAUAAAAUGGUUGUUUUGAGCCACUAAACUCUGGAACCUCGAGUAGGGGAGAAGUUCCUUUGGGUAGGUGUCAUUUUCCUAGGCUACCAUUCAUUUUCUCUUAUUUUGGUGAUAGCAGUCUGAUUUAUGUGUGUGGGUGGGUCGGGGGUAACCCUGAUCUUAAGUCAUGUAGUUCAGGUGCCUCCUGGAUGUGCCUGCCUAACCAUCAUAUCCCCACUACGGUACGGUGUUUGUAAAGAGUUGAGCAAAUAAUCCAGGACAGACCACUGAGAUUCUGCCUUGUGACUUUUGUUAAAAUUAGUGAGAAAAAGUCACUCUCGGGGCAGGCUGGAGUAAAGAGGGAUUGCUAAAUAGAUGCUAGGUAGGCCUGAAACUGCUGGGGGCCAAUUUAUUAUGAAGCAGGAAGAACCUAAUAAGGAAUAAAGUUACUCUGGAGGAAAGCCAAGCAAAGGAGGGUGAGAGACAGCUUCCUGAUGAGACUAAGCUUUGGACCCAGUUUUGCCUGGAACUUCGGCAGGCUGUUUUAGUUUCGUAAGUUAAUACGUACUCCUUUUUGAUUAAGCUAUUUCAGAGGUGUCACUUGCAUCUGAAAGAUUCCUAAUACAGACAGGUAAGAUCAGGUCAUGGAGGGCUUUGUGCCCUGUGAUGGUAAAGUUUUACUUUAUUCUGUAAAGAAUGAGAACUAUAUUUUAAUCAGGAGCAGGAUGAUGAGAUGUACACUUUAGCAAGACACCUGAAUGCACUGAGAAGGGAUAUUUUGGUGUUAGGAACAGGGAAAUGGACUAGGAGUAUAUAGUGUUAGUUUAGGACAUUAUGAUGCCAACUAAUAUAGCUGGUGGGAUUGGAUAUGCAAUUUGAGAAAUAUUUAAAUCAUGGAAUCAACACAAUUCAGACAGGUUGGGUGGUGUUGGGAUAAGGAAGAGAGAAGAAGCAAGGAUGACUUUUAGAUGGAUGGCUUAUAUACAAGCUGGACUAUGUAUCACUAAAGAGAAUAUUAGCUCCAGUUUAUGUCUGAUGACUCAGAAGUUAAACAACCUGCCCAAGGUUGUGUACCUAGUAAGAGCAGAACCAAUCAGGUCUUUAGGCUCCAAGACUUUCAUUCUUUGAAUUGUAUCAGGCCACUCACUGUGUUGAGGCCGCCAUGUGCACUGCAUUCCCAAGAAAUCAUAGCACAUGGGGCUGCUUGUUGUUCAGCACAUCAGGAGGAAGGCAAAAUUAUUAAUGCUUUCUUUUGGUCUCCUUGCUGUGUCUGACUUGCUACCAAACAAAACCUCUGCAGCAGGGCAUUUGUACUAUUCAGGUUUUCUUGGCUGACUUAUCAGCAUUUGUGAAAAGUACAGACGAUUUUGUUCCAGCCUUUCUGCAUUCUGACUUCAGAAGCUGAUUACAGAUGCAGAAACAUGAAGGGAGGUGAAAUCUAUUUCCCAAGAUGGACUAUGGAUUGGUUCUAAAGAUCAAAAGGGUGUGGCUUUUCAAUACAAACAACAAAGUCUGGGAGUUUUUGCACAGUGGAAGAGAAAGGCAAGUAGUAAGGGUGGCAAAGUGCUCAUUAGGAAGAAAAGUUAACAGGAAAACUUGGUUUAAAUCAAGGCAAGUAUGAAGAGAAGGUUAUCAACUUUAUGAAAAAGAGGACCAGAGAAGGCGAAGUGGCAAGCUGAGUGGCGAAUGCUGCUUAUCAUAUAUCCAGUUAAAAUUUCUUGGUCUCAUUCUUCACCAUUGUUAAAAUACUUUAACAUAUUUUAUAUACACUUAAAUAUCUGCUCCUUUCUAGUAAUAUAUUUUAUGUCUUUUACCAUCUUUGAGCCACAAUGAUCUCAACUGUGAAAUGGGAGCAGUAACAAAUUGCACCAUAAGAUUGUUGUGUUAAAUAAUGGCAUGAAUGUGCUUAGCCUGUUGCUUGUCACAUGGAAUCUGCACAGUUAAUGCUCAUAGCCUGUAACUCUUCCCAUCCUCUUCAGCAAGCUUUUAUUUAAUGACGCAGUUACGAAUGAGAAACUCCUGCAAGAAUGAUCAGUGUGCAUUGGAUAGAUGUUAAUUAGGUAGGACAGCCAGCAUUAUGUUCAUUUGAAGGGGAAAAAAACUGAGGUUUUCAGAGGUUAAGUAGCUUGCUGCAAAGUGCUUAGCUAUCAACAAAUAGGAGGUGGUUUUCUCCAGAGGGCCCCAGGUGAGAUGCACAGGUGUUACCCAGUGCAGACUUUUGGUCACCUUCACUUAACAUGGUGAUUGUUAUCAGAUGAGAAAGAAGACACCCUGGAAUUGAGAAAGUGCCAUACAAGAUGAGGCCAUUGCAAAGAGGAAAAAAGAGGCCCUGUGUGAGGCUAGGAAGACAGCACAACAAUGAGCCCAUGGCUUGCCAGGAAAGGAUCAGAAAUGGGAGGAGUGUUGUAGGCUAGUGGGACAUUCUCAAGCUUCAGAUCAGGUGAUUCUGUGCCCAAAUUAUCACUCCUCCAUGUAUUAUCUGUGUGACUUUGAACAAGGUUGUGUAACCUUUCUAAGCCUGUUUCUUCUUUUUUUUUGAUUUUUUUUUUUUGAGAUGAAGUCUCACUCUGUUGCCCAGGCUAGAGUGCAAUGGUGCGUAAUCUCGGCUCACUGCAACCUCUGCCUCCCAGGUUCAAGCAAUUCUCCUGCCUCAGCCUCCCUAGUAGCUGGGAUUACAGGCGAGCACCACCAUGCUCGACUAACUUUUGUAUUUUUAGUAGAGAUGGGUUUCACCAUGUUGGCCAGGGUGGUCUGGAACUCCUGACCUUGUGAUCCACCCGCCUCAACCUCCCAAAUUGCUGGGAUGGAUUACAGGCAUGAGUGGCCGUACCCAGCCUUGUUUCUUCAGUUCUAAAAUGGAUAUAAUAAUGUCUUAUUUAAUUAUCACUGUUAGUAUACAUUGACAUGUCUUGUAAAGUACCCAUCCAGUCCAAUUCCUUAGGAAAUGCUUAAUAAGUAAUAAUAAUUAUGAGCCUAAUUAUUGUUUUUAUUUUGGAGCAAGCCUUAGCUGAACAUUUUCCCUGUGGAAAAAGAUUGUUUGAAUGGGCAUUAACCAAUCUGGAGGGAUUUAUAACAUUUCAAAAAGACUGUUAUAAAACUAGGGAUAGUUUGCCAGAACUGAAAAUCAAUGCAUUUAAUGUUCAGCUGUUUUGAAUGAGGAGGUAGUGCAGGUAACAGACUCUUGGCAGCCCAUCCCCAUUCCUGUUUCAGUCCUGAACCCAGGCAUGGGCUUAAUGUGAGAGAUAGAAAUAGGGCAAUCGAUGACUGAGAUUCAGAAAUGGGGCAGAGCCGGAAAUGUCUGUUGUAAAUUAAUUAAUUUUAAAAAGUCAAUUAGUGAAGAUGUGUUUUUACAUUUUGAAGCCACUACUUCCCGACUUGUCUGGAAAGCCUGAGAUUAAGAAUCACACUUUGGAGGUAAGGGAAUACACUAGUCUGUUCUUGCCCUGCUAUAAAGAACUACCUGAGACUGGGUGAUUUAUAAAGAACAGAGGUUUAAUUGGCUCCUGGUUCCACAGGCUCUCUAGGAAGCGUGGUUGAGGAGGCUUCAGGAAACUUGCAAUCAUGCAGGCACACAUUGCAUGGCUAGAACAGGAGGAAGAGAGUGAAGGGGGAGGUGCUAUACACUUUCAAACAACCAGACCUCGUGAGAACUCACUAUUAUGAUAACAGCAAGGGAGGAAUUCACCCCCAAGAUCCAAUCACCUCCCACCAGGCCCCUCUUCCAACUUUGGGGAUUACAAUUUGACAUGAGACUUGAGUAGGGUCACAAAUCCAAACCAUAUCAUGGGACAAGUGAUUGAAGACUCAUCAUUCUGUUCUGAAUGAAUUUUAUGACCAACUUGCUGUGUAGAGGGAGACAUUUGCCAAAUUUCAUUCAUAAUGGGUUCUGCAUACAGAACAGCUCGGAUUCCAGUUAGCCAUUAUUAUUGUAUGAACUUGCAUGAGUCACUUAAAUAAUUUGUGACCCAAUGUACUCAUCUGUAAAAUGGAGAUGCUAAUGGUAACUUGUUUGUAGCCUUUUGUGAUGAUUAAAUAAGAUUACUUUGUAAAGUGC
RNAcentral lists this long non-coding RNA (8499 nucleotides) under Homo sapiens (human). RNAcentral describes it as "non-protein coding STK32A-AS1:13". Lineage: Eukaryota; Metazoa; Chordata; Mammalia; Primates; Hominidae. The record is from RNAcentral.